AUUGAACGCUGGCGGCAGGCCUAACACAUGCAAGUCGAGCGGAUGAAGGGAGCUUGCUCCUGGAUUCAGCGGCGGACGGGUGAGUAAUGCCUAGGAAUCUGCCUGGUAGUGGGGGAUAACGUCCGGAAACGGGCGCUAAUACCGCAUACGUCCUGAGGGAGAAAGUGGGGGAUCUUCGGACCUCACGCUAUCAGAUGAGCCUAGGUCGGAUUAGCUAGUUGGUGGGGUAAAGGCCUACCAAGGCGACGAUCCGUAACUGGUCUGAGAGGAUGAUCAGUCACACUGGAACGGAGACACGGACCAGACGACUACGGGAGGGAGCAGUGGGGAAUAGUGGACAAUGGGGGAAAGCCUGAUCCAGCCAUGCCGCGUGUGUGAAGAAGGUCUUCGGAGUGUAAAGCACGUUAAGUUGGGAGGAAGGGCAGUAAGUUAAUACCUUGCUGUUUUGACGUUACCAACAGAAGAAGCACCGGCUAACUUCGUG
Molecule: ribosomal RNA, 484 nt
Filed under: uncultured bacterium
Lineage: Bacteria
Description: partial 16S ribosomal RNA
Rfam family: Bacterial small subunit ribosomal RNA
Source: RNAcentral